Long non-coding RNA from Homo sapiens (human), 1198 nucleotides. NCBI's taxonomy places the organism in Eukaryota, Metazoa, Chordata, Mammalia, Primates, Hominidae. The record is from Ensembl.
GGGCGACCCCAGCAGCCUGGAAACGAGGCGGGCUUCCCAUAUGUCACUUCUAAGUAGGAUAUUGGAGGAAUGAAGAGGUCUAAAUGACACGUUAAGGUAAAAGCUGAGCCCGCAACAUGCGGGCAGUCCACCACCGCGGGAUUUGGGGAGGGGGCAGGUCAGCCCCCCCAGGAACCCUCAGCCAGCAUCCCGAGGACCCCGCAACUCCUCUAACCCCAGGUCCAAGCUCACCCGUGAAUCAGAACUUACCGGAGGCCACGGAGGCUGUUACCGCGAGGAAACUCUAGUCCUGGCGGAAGACCAACUUCUAGCAGAUCCCCUUACCCUGGCUCUAGUCCACUAGCUCCUUCCUAGUCACAACCGAACUCACGGGGCGGAGGCCCUUAAGGAGCACUCGCAUCCUUCAAUCGCCGACUAGAAGCUCGCCCGGUGGGCGGAGCCGUGCCAGCUCAGGGCAGAGCGAGGAGGCAGAAGUCUCCGCCUUCCUCAAGCUUGGUUGAGAAGUCCACCUGCAGUUGCAAAGUACGGCUGUUUGAAAGCGGGCGCCAGAGGUGGCGGGAAGCUCCCCCUGUGCGCCCAUUGGUGGAUUCGAGAGCCAAUUACGAGGAAGUCACCCCGGAGUGGGCGGGCUGAUCGGUUGCCUAGAGACGCCGAGGCGCUUCACCCGCUACCUUCGGCCAGGGUGCAGCAGUCUUACGGGGACCCCUUGCCCGUUUGGUACCGGAGACUGCAAAGGUGACUCGUGCCUCCUGCGCUUCAGCACACAGAAUCCCGCAGAUUCCCCACCGAACUCUUGCCUUAGAGGUUUUUUACAUUUGCCCUUGUUUUCUAAGGCGCCUGCUUCCCCAUUAUUUAACAGCCUUAGAUAUUUUGCUUUGUCUUCUACCUUACUAGGUGCCGCUUUGUUUACAUUUUUGCUUCUUUAAUUACUGAUAAGAUGGCACAUUUUUCCACGUGUCUAUUUACUACUCUAAUUUCCUCGGGUGUGAGUGUUCUUGUCACUUAGGUGUAUAUUAUUAACCUGCCCCUAAAGACAGCGCCACCCAGUCCUCAGUAAAGCCCAGUACUGUGUCUAUCUUCUCUGGCUGAAAGGGUUCCAGUGAAUAAUCAAGGAAUUGGUGGCGGCAGGUUCACAUAUCCUUUCAACCCUUUCCCAUGUGUACUGGCACGGAGUAAAAUGGUUGUUCGAGGCUCUUCA